RNAcentral lists this ribosomal RNA (459 nucleotides) under uncultured bacterium. RNAcentral's name for it is "partial 16S ribosomal RNA". It matches the Rfam family "Bacterial small subunit ribosomal RNA", at positions 338 to 795 of the family's 1533-position model. The record is from RNAcentral.
CCUACGGGAGGCAGCAGUGAGGAAUAUUGGUCAAUGGUCGGGAGACUGAACCAGCCAAGCCGCGUGAGGGAUGAAGGUACAGAGUAUCGUAAACCUCUUUUGUCAGGGAACAAAGGCGGGGACGUGUCCCCGGAUGAGUGUACCUGAAGAAAAAGCAUCGGCUAACCCCGUGCCAGCAGCCGCGGUAAUACGGAGGAUGCGAGCGUUAUCCGGAUCUAUGGGGUUAAAGGGGUGCGCAGGCGGUCUGUUAAGUCAGCGGUAAAAGCCCGGGGCCAAACCCCGGCCCGCCGUUGAAACUGGCAGUCUCGAGUUGGAGAGAAGUAUGCGGAAUGCGCGGUGUAGCGGUGAAAUGCAUAGAUAUCGCGCAGAACUCCGAUUGCGAAGGCAGCAUGCCGGCUCCACACUGACGCUGAGGCACGAAAGCGUGGGUAUCGAACAGGAUUAGAUACCCGGGUAGUC